Molecule: long non-coding RNA, 343 nt
Filed under: Lathyrus oleraceus (garden pea)
Lineage: Eukaryota; Viridiplantae; Streptophyta; Magnoliopsida; Fabales; Fabaceae
Description: Pisum sativum (pea) long non-coding RNA (PSAT_LNC035415)
Source: RNAcentral
AAACAAUCAAAAUUGCUUUGAAUGUGCUUAAUCCCGGACGGUGAAUUUAAACCGAGUAAUUCCCCGGGGCAUACGUGUACUUUUUGGUUACAUGUCACAGGAACCGGAUGCCAAGUCAUGAAUCCUCACCCCUAAGCGGUUGACAAAGCCUCUCCUUUGCAGAGCAGGUUCCUCAGUAGGGUUGACAGUAUCCAGACUGUAUAUCCCCAGUAGAGUUGACAGUAUCCAGACUGUAUAUCUCCAGCGGAAUUGUCAGUACCAGACUGUAUCUUCCCAACAACAGCGGAGUAGUUUCAUACCCAACAGACAAGAGGGUGGUGUUCCUAGUGUUCAUCUCGUCCCC